This is a long non-coding RNA of Eriocheir sinensis (Chinese mitten crab), 815 nucleotides long. RefSeq lists it as uncharacterized. The record is from RefSeq and is a predicted model, not a curated record. The transcript is spliced from 2 exons. NCBI's taxonomy places the organism in Eukaryota, Metazoa, Arthropoda, Malacostraca, Decapoda, Varunidae.
GUGAGAUGGACCCCCACCUCAAAUAUGAAUUAAAAAGGGCAUGAUUAAAAUUGAUGCCGCUAGAUGUCCUCAACAUCAACUGUAACUCACGCGGGUGCAACCGGAAGCCAGGUUCAGUACCGCAUUUGCGCUCGAUGUGGAGGUUUGUGUUUUUGGACAGUGCUGAUGUUAUUUGGAGAAGACACGAAAGAAAAGACCUAGGACUCAAGGGGGACCCCUCAACAUGACAGGAUCCCCAUAUAAGAAUGAGCUCCAGACAGAAGUUCAGAAGAAAAAAGAAAAAGAGGUCAGUCUAGCAAAGAAGCAAAAAAUAGGACCCAAAAAUAAAACAGCAAUCAUAUCAAAGCAACUACAACGUGAAAAAAGGAAAAUAAAACCAAAAACUCAACAAGCAAAAGCUGGACCAUCCUGGCUUCAUGAAAGCAGUAGCGAGAGUGAAGAGGGAGAUGGAACUGUCUGCCUGUACUGCAGUGACAAGUUUGGAAAUUCUAAGAGAGGUGAAGGGUGGGUUUGCUGUGACAAUUGUAAACGAUGGGCACACGAGCAAUGUGCAGGGAUACUGGAUGAUGAGGAUGAUAUUGAGUGUUUUAUUUGUGAUCUAUGCAAGGAAUGAUCAGGCAAUUUGGCAUAAUAUAGCACUAUAAAGUAUCCCUGUAGAUGUAAAAUGGGCACAGAAGCAAAUGUAUGAUGGUAAAGGAUGCUGAAAGAAGGGUUUUCUUUGUCAUUUAUUCCAGGAAGAUUUUUUUUUUUUUUUUUUUUUUUUUUUUGUCAAGGACUAUGAUGAACCCUUAGAAAGUACCCGAAAAAAAUGACGG